AUACUUUGAAAACCUGAAAUUGCUCUAUAAAGGCUCGCUGUUGUUAUUGGUAACAUGCAGGGGCUGGACUGAAUGACUACGGAAGGCCAGGACAGUGGAAAGACCAAGGGCUCUGGAAUCAGAUGAGCUGGGUUCAAAUGUGACCUCAGUGUCUUGUUACCUAGGAGGUAGUGGGCCCGUCUGUUCCUCUCUAUGAACCUCAGUUUCCUCAUUGGUAACCUGAAGACACUAGCUCAGACUAGAUGCCUCCAGAGUCUCUUCUUGCACCAGAGUUAUAAUCCUGUGAUUCACUACUAGCAGCAUGUAGAAAGGGACCCAGAUUUGCAGUCCAAGACCUUUCCUGGGUCAAAUCCUGACUCUGUCACUUUCUGUGAGACCUUGGGCAAGUCUCCUUACCUGUGGACCUGGGACCUCAAAAUGAGGGCGUUGGAGCUUGUCAUCCUUCCUACUCAAAGAAGGCCCAAGUGGCAUCCUGACAUUGGAGUCAAUGGCCAGGGUCAUCUAGCUGUGACCAAUCCAAGAAGAGGAAGGUGUGGGCCACCGACACAUGGACGCGUGUGGCCACUGUGUGCCAGCAAGAGAGCGACCAAGGAAAGAACACGGAGCUUUGGAAUCUUGACUUAAAGAGCAGACAGACCUUGCCUUCCUCUGAAGGUGCCCAUUCAAGGAAGAGUUUCAGAAUCUCAAUCUGUUCCCCAGUUCCGGCAUCCCACCCAAGAUAAGGCUUUAUCCUUGAGUGUUGCUGGGAAUUCAUCUCAGGGAGACAGGGAAGCUGGAAAAGGAAAGUGUUGAUAAAAGGCUUGACAUCUUGGAGUUGCCCUGGAAGAAGCCGAAUAAACCCAGUGUGAACCACUUGCCCCAUCAGGAUGUCUCCCUGCUUCAGCUAGACUGGUUUGCCCACCCUCUAGGUAUCAGUUGUCUUGCAGUUGGUGUUGGUGCUCUUUUCUCCAAAGGAUCUUUCUUCCUUUAUGCUGAAGACAAGGGCUCUAUAAAUCUCAAGGCACCAGAGGAAUUUGUUGUCCUUUCAGAAAUGUCUUCCCAAGGUACCAUGGGACUUCUAUGCUCAGACAUCUUCCUGGCUCCUAUUGCCUCUGGGAUAAAAUGUGAGUCCAUCAGCCUGGCUUUUAGGGACCUCCUACUAUUUGCCUUGAUGCUAUAGGUACAUUCCAACUUAAGUGCACUUAUAGUAAUCUCCUAAACUAUCUCUGGGUAUUCAGAGAAAUUGUCCCCUACACCAUACCUGUAAGCAAGGGCAUCUAUCAUUU
RNAcentral lists this long non-coding RNA (1265 nucleotides) under Monodelphis domestica (gray short-tailed opossum). RNAcentral's name for it is "lncRNA (ENSMODG00000036742.1)". The record is from RNAcentral. Lineage: Eukaryota; Metazoa; Chordata; Mammalia; Didelphimorphia; Didelphidae.